CAUGUAAUUCACGUUUUCAGUAAUUUUUUGGGCUUGGAAGGCAGCCCAAGAAACGGGUAAUGUUGUUGCUUUUUAUUAUAACUUGCACAACUUUGGGCUUCUGAUAUAACAUUAGGCCCAGUGAAGAUGUUGAAUAUAACCUAGACUGCCCAGGCCUCAGAUUAAUUGAAUUAAAAGGGAAAUGAGCCUGGCUAUUCUUCAGCUGGGCCUGCUUUAAGUCCAAUUCUUAUAAACCAACUGACGUGAGCCGAAGCUUAUUCAAUAUUAACAAUGAAGCGAACAUAGGUGACCUAACGAUAUAUUUUGAAACAAAACAUGAUGUCAAUUAAUGGGGAUCAAUAUGUAAACUUAAUCACAUUUAUUAAUGGUUAAGAAGAGAAUAUCAUUUCAUUGGAAUAACAAAAAAAUGAUGAUGCUCGAUUUUCAGCCUAGCGCCUUAGUUUAUACAUUCCAAAUAGCUCCAUUACAGAUUGCAAAUAAAAAUAACUACUGGAUGUUUCACCUCGUUACUGAGUCAAAUUGUUUUUAAACAGAUGUAUGAUGUAGCGGACAUGAAAUUAACUACAACUAAUCAUGAAAUUACUCUAUCAACCUAUCAUGAAAUUAACUACACCUAGUCUUCAACUCACAUUGCUCGCAUAAAUCGGAGAAAUAGCAGCUCACAGAGUCUGGCACUGUGCAAAUUACUUAUAACAAUCAGUUACUUGCAUUCUAAUUAAAUUAAUCUACGAGCAUAUGCAAAGACAAGAAUAACAGAAAAACAGCCAACAAGAAUCAACUUGAGCCUUCUAUUUCAUCUCUCAAACCAGGCAUACAUUGUCAUGGAUUCAGGAUUUGUACCUGGAAUUGAAUAAAACGAUGAGAAAUGACAGUCAGCUGCAGUAGCAGAUCAACAGAAGUACAACUUAUAGCCAACAACAGCAGAUUCCAGUCCCAAAAGCCAAGGAGAUGUUUUAACGAUAAAUCCACCAGUCACACAACCAAAACAGCUUAAACAACACCCAACAACUUGAAAUUGAACCCAGAAAUGCACUCUGAAACUUCAGUAACCACAUAUUGAGCUAGAAGAUGCAAGUUAACAACUAAAGCUCGAAAGUAACCUUAGAUUUUCAAUAGGACAGUAUUUUUUGGAGUUUUCUACUGCUUUUUAUUUUGUAUUUUUGAAAGAACUAAGAUCUAAAAGAAGAAAAACUCUUCAAAUUUUGCUUGAACUACAUUUUUUUGGAUUUUUUUUUAGUUUUUGAAUUUCAAAUUUUAGAGGUUUGAGCUUAUGGAAGCUUUGGGGAAAAUUUUUCAAAUCAGAAACCUCCUUUUUUUAUUAAGGCACUAGACAUGUCU
Molecule: long non-coding RNA, 1338 nt
Filed under: Nicotiana benthamiana
Lineage: Eukaryota; Viridiplantae; Streptophyta; Magnoliopsida; Solanales; Solanaceae
Description: long non-coding RNA (NBEN_LNC019306)
Source: RNAcentral